UUCAUAUGAUGAUAACUUAACCAGUUCUGCUACUGAUUACCAGUGAUGAGCCUAUCUUACCAAUUAUCUGACAA
Molecule: small nucleolar RNA, 74 nt
Organism: Sardina pilchardus (European sardine)
Lineage: Eukaryota; Metazoa; Chordata; Actinopteri; Clupeiformes; Clupeidae
Source: RefSeq, a predicted model, not a curated record